UACAGAGGGUGCAAGCGUUAAUCGGAAUUACUGGGCGUAAAGCGCGCGUAGGUGGUUCGUUAAGUUGGAUGUGAAAUCCCCGGGCUCAACCUGGGAACUGCAUUCAAAACUGUCGAGCUAGAGUAUGGUAGAGGGUGGUGGAAUUUCCUGUGUAGCGGUGAAAUGCGUAGAUAUAGGACGGAACACCAGUGGCGAAGGCGACCACCUGGACUGAUACUGACACUGAGGUGCGAAAGCGUGGGGAGCAAACAGG
This 253-nucleotide ribosomal RNA is filed under the name uncultured bacterium. Its description in RNAcentral is "partial 16S ribosomal RNA". It matches the Rfam family "Bacterial small subunit ribosomal RNA", at positions 524 to 776 of the family's 1533-position model. The record is from RNAcentral.